This is a non-coding RNA of Chrysemys picta bellii (western painted turtle), 2396 nucleotides long. NCBI's taxonomy places the organism in Eukaryota, Metazoa, Chordata, Testudines, Emydidae. The record is from RefSeq and is a predicted model, not a curated record.
AUUAGAUCGAAGCAUUUCAGCCGUCCAAAGACAGCACUGUGGUGUGCCAGAGGCAGAGAACAGGAGGGACUGAGGUACCACCAACGCCCGAGGCCCCUGCACUGGCAGGGAAUUCAUUAGCUGGAAAGAAAAUUCUGGAACCAUCUGGGUUUGACAAUGAACGUCAGCUUUAUCUGCAGGAGGGAGGCUGGUCUUGCGGUCAAUGCGCUAGAAUUCCGGGAGUUUGAGCUCAACUCCUGGCUCUGCACGAAGUCACAGUGUGAUUUUGGGGACACCUGGCUUCUACAUGUUAGUGGCUGUCACUUCUGAAGCAAUCGCCCCGUCGUGCGAUGAGAAGAGGGAUUCCAAACUCCAGAGGUUAGAUAUGAUGGGCAAGAGCCUCAGCUGGUAUAAAUGAGCCUAACUCCCUUGACUUCAGUGGCCCUCCAUUCAUAUUCACUAGCCCUACAUCUAGCCUGCUGCAGUGGGAGUCCGAGGGCCAGGCCAAGGAGUCAGAAAUGGUUUGAGUGUGCAUUGGAUAUUGGGAAGGACAUUAAAGGGCUGGGCUUGGCGUCCCCUCCCUACCAUCUGCUGGGACUGAACUUACUCCCAACGGCCGCAGGGCUGUCAUGCAAGUGCAGCUCCUCAGAGUGGAUGCAGGGGAAAAACGAAGGCAGAGAAAACAAAAGAGGUAGGAAGUAGAAAGGGGCAGGGAAACAUGAGAGAGAGGCACAAGAAAGAUGAGCAGGAAGGGAUGGAUGCCUGUCUUGUGUGCGGGAGAGGGGACAAUUUAUGGAGUUUUUCAAGCUUUGUCCUUUUAUUAUUAUUAUUUUAUGAUUAUUUUGAAUACAAAUGUCACCACCCCAGCACUCACUGGCAGCUCUACAAUAACCAUCUAGUCUGGACCACCUAGGGUCAGGGAGCGACCCCGCAAAACUCAAUGCUCCAGAGCCCCCGGCAAUAACAAACUGAUGCUCACAGCUCAGUGCUUCACAGCAACCUGACUCUAACCAGCCAAGCCGCACACCACCAUCCACCCCACAGAAACACCCCCCGGUGCACAACUCAGCGCCAGUUAGCACCCCGCCAAUAAUAAACCGGCGCGUACAGCUCAGUGUGCAUCAGCAACAGGGGGUGCACAUGUGAAAGCUAAGAAGGAAAAUUAAUCUCUGUAAGGAUCCCGGCUUAUGUUUCCAAGUGGUUACAUUUCUAGUAUUGGAGAGAGGAAAAUGAUUAUUUAAAAAAGACCUUUUAUCUACAAUCUGCCUCCCCACCACAGCUUUCGUGUGCGGGGGGUGCGUCAAGGUGGGAACAUUUACAUUUUUAGGGAAACUGUUCACAAAAAAGUCUUUCUAAUGGCAAAUGUUGAAAUUUGAAAACUUGUUGACUAGCUGUAGUGUUGAGUUCUGCCUCAGGUCCUGAUACAGGAAGACAUCUCUGUCCAGCGGAGCACAGGUGAGUCCCACUGUAAUCAAUGCCACUUAAGCACAUGGAUAAAGUUUGGCAUGUGUUUAAGUGCUGCCCUGAAUUGGGGCCCAAGAUAGCAGACUGGGCUGUUCUCAUUUGGUAAUGAAUGGUUAGAGCUGGUUUGAGUUACGGGUCCCCUGAGCCCCUAUAUUUUUAAUGUCAGCUUAAUAUUUUAAGCAUCUUCUCACUCAGGCUUUGGAUUUUAAGCUGAGGUUGUGCCUUUAUUAGUCGUGCAGCAGCAGGAGCUGCAGCAGGCGGGCCUGGUUGGGGCCUGCUGUGGUUUCCAAGGCCCCCCACAACCCACCCUCACCCCUGUAACUGAAUAACUGAUUUCAAGCCGGUGACUAAGCAGGGACUGACGUGGGGCCUAGGCCUUGUAGGUGUGAAGUGGUUCUCGAGGGGCCACUGCAAGGAUCCUCUGCACCCUGAGAGAGCAAAUCAUUCCUCACCCCCCCAUCCCCUUUCUGCCCCCCUCAUUUCACAUUAAGGGCCAUCGUCCCCCUGAGCUGCAGGAAUGAGGGACCGGAAUGGGGGAGAACUAAGAGGCCUCCCCAGUGCCGAGGAAACCAGGCAGCGCAGAGUUAAGUCAGGAAGCUAGAAAUAAUAAUCAUCAUCAUAAUCAUCGGAGCCUAUGGAAUGAGGAAGUUAAGGGCUGGGUACCUCGUCGUUUGUGAAGCUCUUGGCAAGCGCUAUGGAAAACGGAGGCCUAGAGAAAUGUCACAGCAGGCUAAGCUUGUUCGGAGAACCACACACGUGUAUUUAAGCCAUCAAGCCCGCCAUUGUUCUCCCCUAAUUAUUCCCACUCCCUGAGUCUUACACCCCAUAAUUCAGGGAAGCUGAGUAAUGGAAGAAACAACAACAGUUUUAAUCUCUCAGUACCGGUGGUCUCCACCAACAAAAAUACUUUCAAGAGCUCUGCGGUUGCAGCUUCCUCAAUUUGGUGGGCAGUA